RNAcentral lists this long non-coding RNA (843 nucleotides) under Mus musculus (house mouse). RNAcentral's name for it is "lincRNA-EC105". Lineage: Eukaryota; Metazoa; Chordata; Mammalia; Rodentia; Muridae. The record is from RNAcentral.
GCAGUUUUCUCCACGCGCCGGAGAGAAGGACAAUACAUUGCCAACCCACUGGGUCUAACCACAAGGCUUCCUUUGGCUGAGAAGUAUGAAUGAAGCAAUCAAAUAACCCCUGUAGACCCUCAGUUUCUGGGGGUUAUGCUGUUAGGCAGUCCCCAAGUUGGGAUUAGCCAGCAUGACCAAUAGGAUAUAGCUUAAGUGAUACUGUAUGAUUUCAGACAAUAUAAUAAAGACCUUCUAGUUCCUCUUUAGGUUCUAAGAAUCUUGGAGAGCCAUCUACUCGAGUACAGGGAGGACGUUAAAGCAACCGUACACAGAUACAUACAUGGAGAGCAGCUAGUGGCCUGGACAGUGGCUGAUGCCAACAGAAGUCAUAUGGCUGAGCCAUCUUGGAAGGUGAUCCUCCAGCUAUAGGGAGGCUUUGGAUGAUGCAGCAUCAACUCAGUCUCAUGAGAGGACCUUGAACCAGAGCAGUACAGUCUGAAUUCACAACCUGCAGGAACUGGGGGAUAAUACGGGAAUGAUCUGUCAUAUGGUAAUGGGUAGCUAACACAGUCAUAGACUAUAUGGGGACAUUAUGAGCAUGUGGGAAGCUAAGGACGCCUUAAGAGAGUGUAUGAAGCCCUGCACAGCCAUGUCAAGGACCCAUUGCUUCAGAUAUGUGAAAAUGGCAAAGCCUUCUUCUGGUCUGAAUGGGAGUAUUGGCAGUGUGUGCAAAAAGUAGCAAACAGCUUCUUUCACCCGGAUGACUACAUUCUGAGACUUCUCACUUACAGAGACUCUUUCAGAUAUUGUAAGACCCCCCCCCCCGUGCUGUAGAUAAUAAAAUUGCUGAAGUUUCCAGUU